This 65-nucleotide transfer RNA is filed under the name Illex argentinus (Argentinian squid). RNAcentral describes it as "tRNA-Thr". The record is from RNAcentral. Lineage: Eukaryota; Metazoa; Mollusca; Cephalopoda; Oegopsida; Ommastrephidae.
GUUAUAAUAGUUUAAAUAAAACCUUGGUCUUGUAAAUCAAAAUUAGAUAAUAAAUCUUUAUAACU